ACGUAGGUGGCAAGCGUUGUCCGGAAUUAUUGGGCGUAAAGGGUGCGCAGGCGGUCUCUUAAGUCUGUCUUAAAAGUGCGGGGCUUAACCCCGUGAGGGGACGGAAACUGGGAGACUGGAGUAUCGGAGAGGAAAGCAGAAUUCCUAGUGUAGCGGUGAAAUGCGUAGAUAUUAGGAGGAAUACCAGUGGCGAAAGCGGCUUUCUGGACGCCAACUGACGCUGAGGCACGAAAGCCAGGGGAGCGCACGG
This 250-nucleotide ribosomal RNA is filed under the name uncultured bacterium. RNAcentral's name for it is "partial 16S ribosomal RNA". It matches the Rfam family "Bacterial small subunit ribosomal RNA", at positions 525 to 775 of the family's 1533-position model. The record is from RNAcentral.